This 72-nucleotide transfer RNA is filed under the name Ornithorhynchus anatinus (platypus). It matches the Rfam family "tRNA". Rfam says of the family: Transfer RNA (tRNA) molecules are approximately 80 nucleotides in length. Their secondary structure includes four short double-helical elements and three loops (D, anti-codon, and T loops). Lineage: Eukaryota; Metazoa; Chordata; Mammalia; Monotremata; Ornithorhynchidae. The record is from Rfam by way of RNAcentral.
AGCAGUGUGGCCUAAGGGAUAAAGCAGUGGCCUGGGAGCCAGAGGACCUGGGUUCUAAUCCCAGCUCUGUUA